GUGAAGAGUCUGCAGAUGAUGUUGACACCAACUUAGAGAGUUCAUCAUUCAAUGAUCAAAGUUUGGAGGAAUCAAGUGAUGACAUUAUUAAUUGGGAAAGGAUAGAUAUCGAUGGUACAACAAUUGUCACACCUUUACUACCUGCCCAAAAGAUGGUAGAGGACCAAACAGAUGAUACCGAUUUUUCUAAUCCCAAUGGAGAUGACAUUAUGUAUAAUAAUUUAUUUCUUAUGUACCAUAUUGCCCUGGUAUAUGAAAAAGAAAUUCAAAUGUUUUUUUUCAUGUGAUUUUGUUAUUAUUAUUACUAUUUUUUGAAAUUUAAAUGUCUUUUCAUUAACUAAAGAUGAAGAAUAUUUUAUUGUCAUACUGUCAUAUUGCUAGACAUAUACAGGUGUUAGACAUGAGGCGCAUUAAUCGUACGGCUAGGCGAUCGAUAGGUCCUAUGACUGAUGCGAGACCUAGCCAGCCUCAAGUGACCCAGGCUACAAAGGGUCCCUCUAGUGAUUCAUAGGGUGCGAUAAAAAAGAGAGGCCACACACGAUGCCUCGAAGUUUGCAAGAUGCGUGAAGGACAACGAAUUCAUAUUCCCAUCAACACCAAAGGACAACCUGUUGGUGACAAUGUUAACAAGUUGACAAACUUCCUAGGGACUAUAGCACGCAAUGGGGAAUAUGCACCCCUUACAUUUACUGAUUGGAGGGCAAUGUGAAUGAGAAGAAGGAUGAUAUGUUGCGACUUGUUAUGUCCAAGUUUGAGUUUGACGCGGAUGCAAAGAAGUGGGUGUUACAAUCAAUUGGUAGAAAAUGGAAGGAUUGGAAAGGUGAAUUGAAAAACUCCACUAUUCUCCUCAUGAGACUGAUGAGGAGCGGCUCGCGGACCUUGAUGAGCGGGUUAAAGAGGAUUAGUGGAAGGCACUCAUUCAGUUUGGAACUCUGAAGAGGGGAAGGUAUGUGAUAAGUAACUAUUGAUUGCUUUAUAUUUUAGAAUUACACAAUAAUCUUUUAUUGAUAUCUUAUAAUUUACUCUAUCGGUGUGUUGACAUAUAUGCUCGUACUAAGACAAGUUUAGAGAAUCGAAAAAGAUAAUUAAUCGGCCA
This is a long non-coding RNA of Magnolia sinica, 1096 nucleotides long. RefSeq lists it as uncharacterized. Lineage: Eukaryota; Viridiplantae; Streptophyta; Magnoliopsida; Magnoliales; Magnoliaceae. The record is from RefSeq and is a predicted model, not a curated record. The transcript is spliced from 3 exons.